RNAcentral lists this unclassified non-coding RNA (267 nucleotides) under uncultured fungus. Its description in RNAcentral is "partial contains small subunit ribosomal RNA, internal transcribed spacer 1, and 5.8S ribosomal RNA". The stretch from base 1 to 73 matches the Rfam family "Eukaryotic small subunit ribosomal RNA", at positions 1759 to 1831 of the family's 1831-position model. The record is from RNAcentral. Lineage: Eukaryota; Fungi.
ACAAACUUGGUCAUUUAGAGGAAGUAAAAGUCGUAACAAGGUCUCCGUUGGUGAACCAGCGGAGGGAUCAUUACCGAGUUUACAACUCCCAAACCACUGUGAACCUUUACCUAUCGUUGCCUCGGCGGCCCCUUUCGGGCGGCCGCCAGAGGACCCCAAACCCUUUGUCUUUUUGCGUGGUUAUCCUCUGAGUGACACAAGCAAAGAAAAUAAAUCAAAACUUUCAACAACGGAUCUCUUGGUUCUGGCAUCGAUGAAGAACGCAGC